UUUCCGUAGGUGAACCGGCGGAAGGAUCAUUAUUGUAUAACCGAGGUGCGAGGGCUGUCGCUGACCCGUAAGGUCGUGCACGCCCGAGUGCUCUCACACACAUCCAUCUCACCCCUAUGUGCACCACCGCGUGGGUCCCCCUUUGGCUUGUUCGGAGGGGGGCUUACGUUUUCACACAAACUUUGUAUGCAGUGUAGAAUGUAUUUUUUGUUUUUGCGAUCACGCAAUCAAUACAACUUUCAACAACGGAUCUCUUGGCUCUC
Molecule: unclassified non-coding RNA, 263 nt
Filed under: plant metagenome
Description: partial contains small subunit ribosomal RNA, internal transcribed spacer 1, and 5.8S ribosomal RNA
Source: RNAcentral